RNAcentral lists this ribosomal RNA (507 nucleotides) under uncultured bacterium. RNAcentral's name for it is "bacterial SSU rRNA". It matches the Rfam family "Bacterial small subunit ribosomal RNA", at positions 791 to 1304 of the family's 1533-position model. The record is from RNAcentral.
UAGUCCACGCCGUAAACGAUGGAUACUAGCUGUUCGGUAGCAAUACUGAGUGGCUAAGCGAAAGUGAUAAGUAUCCCACCUGGGGAGUACGUUCGCAAGAAUGAAACUCAAAGGAAUUGACGGGGGCCCGCACAAGCGGUGGAGCAUGUGGUUUAAUUCGAUGAUACGCGAGGAACCUUACCAGGGCUUAAAUGUAGUCUGACAGGACUGGAAACAGUUUUUUCUUCGGACAGAUUACAAGGUGCUGCAUGGUUGUCGUCAGCUCGUGCCGUGAGGUGUCAGGUUAAGUCCUAUAACGAGCGCAACCCCUGUUGUUAGUUGCCAUCGAGUAAUGUCGGGAACUCUAACAAGACUGCCGGUGCAAACCGGAGGAAGGUAAGGAUGACGUCAAGUCAGCAUGCCCCUUAUGCUCUGGGCUACACACGUGCUACAAUGGCCGUGACAAAGAGUUGCUACUUUGUGAAAACAAGCUAAUCUCAUAAACGCGGCCUCAGUUCGGAUUGCAGG